Long non-coding RNA from Nymphaea colorata (pocket water lily), 671 nucleotides. RefSeq lists it as uncharacterized. The transcript has 3 exons. NCBI's taxonomy places the organism in Eukaryota, Viridiplantae, Streptophyta, Magnoliopsida, Nymphaeales, Nymphaeaceae. The record is from RefSeq and is a predicted model, not a curated record.
UCGCUCGUCUUCUCGUAGCAUGGAGUUUGGGAGAGCGAUAGUUUGCUCUGCUUCUUCAACGAUCUGUUUUCUUGGUUGCCUGAAGGCGAGAUGAGGCCUGGAGCAAUGAGUAUCGACCUUUCUCGGAUUUCCUUUAUUAGAAAUCAAAGUACGGGGGAGUUCUCAACCUAAACGAUAGCAAUGAGUCUCUCUGACUUUUCUUUUUGAAGAUGACCGCGUCGGAUCUUUUCCCGACUCUCUCGGUUUCUGUCUCUUUCAGGAGGAACUAAGACAAGGCAAUAUCUCCUAGUGGAGCCAUUCUCUAAUUCCCUCGCCCUCUCCGCUUUGAGGAAGGAUUCGGGGAAUAGGUUGAUGCUCUAACUGCUGACCUCAUUUUCCAUGUGUUAUUCGGAUGCUUACCUCGAUCAGUUUCUUGCCAUCCAUUUUCGGACUGAGUGAAGAAAGGAAGUGAUGGGUCCCCAGUUUUCUACUCAUUUCCUCUCCUGGACCCUUUCCUAAUUCCCUGGCCUUCUUUGUUUCAAGGAAGAAAUGGAGAGGGAUUUAACCAAAACCCUCCUGAAGUUUCUCCAUAUUUCAGUCUGGAAAGAUUAACUGAAUCGAGCUAGCAUGCCUAGGUCGAGCUGGUACCGCAGAAAGGAACGAUCAUGGCUGAUUCAAGCCCGUAAGUCAAU